AUUUUUUCGGAAACAUCUCAUUGUUCUUUUUCAUGGUACUUAAAAUGCUGUCAUUCUUGCGACACUUUCUGUCUUUGUAGCUGUUUGUUGGAUGCUAGUUUAUUGCCCUGGAAGUCUAAAUGGGUUUUCUCUGGUGUUUACCUCUGCGUAUUUCCCAUUUGUUAUGGUAUAUUAGUAUCAUUUAAUCCUCUGCUAUCUUUAAAAAUAGGUGGGGCACAGUGUCUCACACCUGUAAUCCCAGCACUUUGGGAGGCCAAGGCAGGAGGAUCGCUUGAGCCCAGGAGUUUGAGACCAGCCUAGGCAACGUGGUGAAAACUUGUCUUUACAAAAAUCAUUGCUACUGUACAGAAUUGCAAUUGAGUUUUGUAUCCUGUGACCUUGAUGAAUUCAUUUUAUUCUAAUCAAUUUUUAGGAAAUUCUUUAGGAUUCUCUAUAGGCAAGAUCAUGCCAUCUACAAAUAGAGAUUGUUUUAUUUCUUCCUUUCCAAUCUGGAUGCCUUUUAUUUCUUUUUCUUGUAU
RNAcentral lists this long non-coding RNA (518 nucleotides) under Homo sapiens (human). RNAcentral's name for it is "non-protein coding lnc-PARN-11:1". Lineage: Eukaryota; Metazoa; Chordata; Mammalia; Primates; Hominidae. The record is from RNAcentral.